This 468-nucleotide ribosomal RNA is filed under the name uncultured bacterium. Its description in RNAcentral is "partial 16S ribosomal RNA". It matches the Rfam family "Bacterial small subunit ribosomal RNA", at positions 28 to 507 of the family's 1533-position model. The record is from RNAcentral.
GACGAACGCUGGCGGCGUGCUUAACACAUGCAAGUCGAACGGAAAGGCCCUGCUUUUGUGGGGUGCUCGAGUGGCGAACGGGUGAGUAACACGUGAGUAACCUCCCCUUGACUUUCGGAUAACUUCACGAAACUGCGGCUAAUACCGGAUAGGAGCUCCUGCUCCACGGUGGGGUUUGGAAAGUUUCGGCGGUUGGGGAUGGACUCGCGGGUCACCCGCUUGUUGGUGGGGUAGUGGAUGACCAAGCCUUUGACGGGUAGCCGGCCUGGGAGGGGGACCGGGGACAUUGGGACUGAGAGAGGGCCCAGACUCCUACGGGAGGCAGCAGUGGGGAAUAUUGCACAAUGGGGGGAAGCGUGAUGUAGCAACGCCGCGUGCGGGAUGACGGCCUUCGGGUUGUGAACCGCUGUCGCCUGUGACGAAGCGUGAGUGACGGUAAUGGGUAAAGAAGCACCGGCUAACUACGUG